This 1433-nucleotide long non-coding RNA is filed under the name Homo sapiens (human). RNAcentral's name for it is "HSALNT0139399". The record is from RNAcentral. Lineage: Eukaryota; Metazoa; Chordata; Mammalia; Primates; Hominidae.
GUCAGAGAAGACUCUCAAGGAGGAGACACCAGCUGGGUAGCCUCAAGCAAGAGCAUCUCAGGCAGACACAUGACAGCAAGUUUGGAGGCAGCCUGGUGAGCAGCCAAGAGCAGCAGUGGUUACGCCUAGGGAAGAGCAUGAGUUAGAACAUCAGCAUUACUUCUUUCCAGCCAUGGGAGCUUGGGCUGAAUUAACAGUCAAAAUGAAGCAGGAUAAUUGGAGACGGAGCCAUGCAGCCGAUCAUGCCAUCCUUGGAAUUAUUGGGCACACCAUCAUCUCUUGCUUGGAUUCAGGAUCUUGGCAUUGCAUUCUUACAGAAAAGCCUCUUUGCAGUCAACAUCCACAGAAAAGAAAUAGAAGCAAUUGAUCUGCAAGGACCUGCCUUUGAAAUAUUGACACAUUGAGGAAGGCUGACACAUGAUGAGAAGAGUCAGUGGUCCUGAGGUACAGUACUUAAGAUAACCCUGUGAAGGCUGAGAUUGAUAUUUGAAAUUCACAACUGAUCUUGGAGCCUGGUACAGCAGUCAUGGAUUUGUUCAUGUGUGGAUGUGAUGGAACUGAAGUCGCUAGGUUCAUGCUACCUGGAACAUGAGACUGACAAAUAGAGGAGCACUGAGUCAAAUGAAUCUCGGAGAAAUGGAGCUGGAAGAAAACUGGAGUAAGCCUGUCCCUGAAAGGGCACUACAUUUGGAUAUCCAGCAGUGGGACUCAAUAUUUUUUCUUGUUGUUUAAUCUCAUUUCUGUUACUUGCAGCCAAAGGCUCUUAAUGAGAAAAUGGCUCUACCUAGUUUUCUGAAAUUGCCUCAGUCUCUCCACUCUUCCCUAUUACAAAGGUCAUCUCUUUAAUUCACAUCCAAUAACUGAUAGUCUCUUGACUAAUCUACAUCCUCUCAUUCUCUCCUAAUUCACCUUUCAUACUGUUGCCAGGUGACUUUUCCUAAAAGACAACUUUCAUGAUGUCACUCUACUUCAUAAAUUCUUAUAAUGGUUUCUUUUUGCUUUUAGUCCAAACUCCUCAGGUUCGUUUUCAAGGCUUUUCAUAAUUGAAUUUCUUUUAUAUACCUAAGAUGAUUUCUCUGUGUUCCCAAAUGUACAAUUGACAGUCCUUCCUCCUGAUGUUCUCUCCAGUAGGAAAUGUUUGCUCUAUGUAAAUUCAGUAUAGCUUUUAGUCUCUAUUCAAGUUCUACCUUCUUCAUAAACUUCUCCUGAAUAGAAUCAGCCUAUAACCAUUUAAACUGUCUUUAUUAGGUGCACACUAUGUGCCAGGUACUCAACAAGGCAGUGGAACUAUGAAGACAGAUAAUCACAGUCCCUCUUGCCUCUGGGAGCAGGCAGUUGAAUGCAAUGCUUUUUAAAGUUUUAAGUAACGUGGUCAUGCAAAAUCUUAUAGAUAUACAUUUGAAUGUACAGAGUUUAAUUACCAAGCUAGUGAG